CGUCUGGUUCACCUCGUACUCGAAUAUUAUAUCGGCUUAAAUAGGCUAGCAUCCUGCCCUGUGGUGGGAGGCUAUGUUGGGUCGAGUCAUAUUCGAAAUGGCGUGAGGCUAGAUGAGUCGAGUCACAAUCGAGAUCCGUGGGCGCUGUAUCUGUACGCUUUAAGUGAAUUGAUUGCGUAUUUCUAGCAGCUCGAGCUUUUGAGAUUAAUGGUUAACGCCAACGAUCCGACAUGUUAGAGUUUCGUUGAGCUUUAAUG
RNAcentral lists this long non-coding RNA (257 nucleotides) under Ananas comosus (pineapple). RNAcentral describes it as "long non-coding RNA (ACOM_LNC020543)". Lineage: Eukaryota; Viridiplantae; Streptophyta; Magnoliopsida; Poales; Bromeliaceae. The record is from RNAcentral.